RNAcentral lists this transfer RNA (69 nucleotides) under Helicana wuana. Its description in RNAcentral is "tRNA-Thr". It matches the Rfam family "tRNA". Rfam says of the family: Transfer RNA (tRNA) molecules are approximately 80 nucleotides in length. Lineage: Eukaryota; Metazoa; Arthropoda; Malacostraca; Decapoda; Varunidae. The record is from RNAcentral.
GUUUUUAUAGUUUAAACCACCCUAAAACAUUGGUCUUGUAAACCAAUAAUGAAUUAAUUUCUAAAAACU